UGUUGAUAUAACUGUAUAUCAAUACGGAAAAAUUCUUUGUGUUAUAUUAUAAUAUAACACAAAGAAAUACAAAGAAAGAAAUUUUCCGACGUUUCCGUGUUGACAUUGAGUUAUUGGCUGUUAGCCAAUCAGCGUUCAGAAUUUACAAAUGCUAUAUUAUAAAGUUGUUUACUAAUUAAUUACAAAUGAUGGCUGCGAAUGGGUGUAUUAUGCUUACGCACGCUUUGGAACAAUUAGUUCUAAAUUAUGCAAAUUCUAGUAACAUUGUAUUCCAAAGGCUUUACAGGUUUUUUGAUGCACCCUGUAUAAGAAAAACUUCUUUUAAGGAAAUUAUUCUUGGUUUAGGUAAAGAUAGUUUAACAUAGCCUCCUCCGCAGGCAUCUCGUUCACGUACGUCAGAAAGUCUUUUUUUGCCUGCAAGCAAAUUUUGCCCGAUAAUCUAAAGGCGAUGCCUGCGGAGGAGGCUAAGUUUAACAUUAUUAUUCCUUAGAGAAUAAUUACUAUUUUCACACUUCGUGAAGAAAUUGUGCACAUAAUCAGGUAGUCUGUUAAUUAGUUAAAGCUUAAACGUCAUGAUAGUUUCUCUUUUCUUUAAACCGGAACCUCGUAUGAUUGUCCUGUGAUAACCUGACUAGCUUCUCUUUGUUUGCUUCGUUAGAUGAAAAAAAUCGAUGAAAAAUCACGCCGCAUUGUCGAAUUACGUUCGAG
Paramuricea clavata is the source of this 708-nucleotide non-coding RNA. Lineage: Eukaryota; Metazoa; Cnidaria; Anthozoa; Malacalcyonacea; Plexauridae. The record is from the annotation of a GenBank genome assembly.